RNAcentral lists this small nucleolar RNA (72 nucleotides) under Suricata suricatta (meerkat). Lineage: Eukaryota; Metazoa; Chordata; Mammalia; Carnivora; Herpestidae. The record is from RNAcentral.
CUGCAAUGAUGUGAAUUUCUCGCUGAAUUCAGCCUUGAAGUGUAAAACAGGAGCUUUUUAACCCUGAGCAGU